GCGGGGUUGCGGGUUCGAGCCCCGUC
Molecule: transfer RNA, 26 nt
Filed under: Olearia persoonioides
Lineage: Eukaryota; Viridiplantae; Streptophyta; Magnoliopsida; Asterales; Asteraceae
Description: partial tRNA-Asp
Source: RNAcentral